RNAcentral lists this unclassified non-coding RNA (229 nucleotides) under plant metagenome. RNAcentral's name for it is "partial contains small subunit ribosomal RNA, internal transcribed spacer 1, and 5.8S ribosomal RNA". The record is from RNAcentral.
UCUCCGUAGGUGAACCUGCGGAGGGAUCAUUACAGAGUUCAUGCCCUACCGGGUAGAUCUCCUACCCUAUGUUAUUAUUACUUUGUUGCUUUGGCGGGCCGUUAGGCUCCGGCCCGACUACCGGCCCCGGCUGGUAAGCGCCCGCCAGAGGACCCAAAACCCUGAAUAUUAGUGUCGUCCGAGUACUAUAUAAUAGUUAAAACUUUCAACAACGGAUCUCUUGGUUCUG